CUUGAGAGCGGCGGACGGGUGAGUAAUGCCUAGGAAUCUGCCUGGUAGUGGGGGAUAACGUUCGGAAACGGACGCUAAUACCGCAUACGUCCUACGGGAGAAAGCAGGGGACCUUCGGGCCUUGCGCUAUCAGAUGAGCCUAGGUCGGAUUAGCUAGUUGGUGGGGUAAUGGCUCACCAAGGCGACGAUCCGUAACUGGUCUGAGAGGAUGAUCAGUCACACUGGAACUGAGACACGGUCCAGACUCCUACGGGAGGCAGCAGUGGGGAAUAUUGGACAAUGGGCGAAAGCCUGAUCCAGCCAUGCCGCGUGUGUGAAGAAGGUCUUCGGAUUGUAAAGCACUUUAAGUUGGGAGGAAGGGCCGUUACCUAAUACGUGAUGGUUUUGACGUUACCGACAGAAUAAGCACCGGCUAACUCUGUGCCAGCAGCCGCGGUAAUACAGAGGGUGCAAGCGUUAAUCGGAAUUACUGGGCGUAAAGCGCGCGUAGGUGGUUUGUUAAGUUGGAUGUGAAAUCCCCGGGCUCAACCUGGGAACUGCAUUCAAAACUGACUGAC
RNAcentral lists this ribosomal RNA (557 nucleotides) under gamma proteobacterium SCGC AAA041-M08. RNAcentral describes it as "bacterial SSU rRNA". It matches the Rfam family "Bacterial small subunit ribosomal RNA", at positions 88 to 641 of the family's 1533-position model. The record is from RNAcentral. Lineage: Bacteria; Pseudomonadati; Pseudomonadota; Gammaproteobacteria.